AUUGAACGCUGGCGGCAGGCCUAACACAUGCAAGUCGAACGGUAACAGGAAGAAGCUUGCUUCUUUGCUGACGAGUGGCGGACGGGUGAGUAAUGUCUGGGAAACUGCCUGAUGGAGGGGGAUAACUACUGGAAACGGUAGCUAAUACCGCAUAAUGUCGCAAGACCAAAGGGGGGGACCUUCGGGCCUCUUGCCAUCGGAUGUGCCCAGAUGGGAUUAGCUAGUAGGUGGGGUAACGGCUCACCUAGGCGACGAUCCCCAGCUGGUCUGAGAGGAUGACCAGCCACACUGGAACUGAGACACGGUCCAGACUCCUACGGGAGGCAGCAGUGGGGAAUAUUGCACAAUGGGCGCAAGCCUGAUGCAGCUAUGCCGCGUGUAUGAAGAAGGCCUUCGGGUUGUAAAGUACUUUCAGCGGGGAGGAAGGGAGUAAAGUUAAUACCUUUGCUCAUUGACGUUACCCGCAGAAGAAGCACCGGCUAACUCCGUG
Molecule: ribosomal RNA, 490 nt
Filed under: uncultured bacterium
Lineage: Bacteria
Description: partial 16S ribosomal RNA
Rfam family: Bacterial small subunit ribosomal RNA
Source: RNAcentral